RNAcentral lists this ribosomal RNA (254 nucleotides) under uncultured bacterium. Its description in RNAcentral is "partial 16S ribosomal RNA". It matches the Rfam family "Bacterial small subunit ribosomal RNA", at positions 524 to 776 of the family's 1533-position model. The record is from RNAcentral.
UACGUAGGGCGCAAGCGUUGUCCGGAAUUACUGGGCGUAAAGAGCUCGUAGGUGGCGUGUCGCGUCUGCCGUGAAAGCCCAUGGCUUAACUGUGGGCGUGCGGUCGAUACGGGCAUCACUGGAGUUCGGCAGGGGAGACUGGAAUUCCUGGUGUAGCGGUGAAAUGCGCAGAUAUCAGGAGGAACACCGGUGGCGAAGGCGGGUCUCUGGGCCGAUACUGACGCUGAGGAGCGAAAGCGUGGGGAGCAAACAGG